CAGUCGCCACGGUAAUACGGAGGAUCCAAGCGUUAUCCGGAAUCAUUGGGUUUAAAGGGUCCGUAGGCGGUUUAGUAAGUCAGUGGUGAAAGCCCAUCGCUCAACGGUGGAACGGCCAUUGAUACUGCUGAACUUGAAUUAUUAGGAAGUAACUAGAAUAUGUAGUGUAGCGGUGAAAUGCUUAGAGAUUACAUGGAAUACCAAUUGCGAAGGCAGGUUACUACUAAUUGAUUGACGCUGAUGGACGAAAGCGUGGGGAGCGAACAGGAUUAGAUACCCCUGUAGUCCCUGUCUCUUAUAC
RNAcentral lists this ribosomal RNA (301 nucleotides) under uncultured bacterium. Its description in RNAcentral is "partial 16S ribosomal RNA". It matches the Rfam family "Bacterial small subunit ribosomal RNA", at positions 509 to 807 of the family's 1533-position model. The record is from RNAcentral.